Molecule: ribosomal RNA, 521 nt
Filed under: uncultured archaeon
Lineage: Archaea
Description: bacterial SSU rRNA
Rfam family: Bacterial small subunit ribosomal RNA
Source: RNAcentral
UCAUUCCGCGUGCAGGACGAAGGCCCUCGGGUUGUAAACUGCUUUUGUACGGAACGAAAAAGCCUUGGUUAAUACCCAGAGUCCAUGACGGUACCGUAAGAAUAAGCACCGGCUAACUACGUGCCAGCAGCCGCGGUAAUACGUAGGGUGCAAGCGUUAAUCGGAAUUACUGGGCGUAAAGCGUGCGCAGGCGGUUAUAUAAGACAGACGUGAAAUCCCCGAGCUUAACUUGGGAACUGCAUUUGUGACUGUAUAGCUAGAGUACGGCAGAGGGGGAUGGAAUUCCGCGUGUAGCAGUGAAAUGCGUAGAUAUGCGGAGGAACACCGAUGGCGAAGGCAAUCCCCUGGGCCUGUACUGACGCUCAUGCACGAAAGCGUGGGGAGCAAACAGGAUUAGAUACCCUGGUAGUCCAAGCCCUAAACGAUGUCAACUGGUUGUUGGGUCUUCACUGACUCAGUAACGAAGCUAAACGCGUGAAGUUGACCGCCUGAGGAGUACAGACAGCACGUUGAAACUCAAA